GGGGGUAUAGCUCAGUGGUAGAGCAUUUGUCUGCAGACCAAGUGGUCCCUGGUUCAAAUUUAGGUGCCCCCU
RNAcentral lists this transfer RNA (72 nucleotides) under Chelonia mydas (Green sea turtle). It matches the Rfam family "tRNA". Rfam says of the family: Transfer RNA (tRNA) molecules are approximately 80 nucleotides in length. Their secondary structure includes four short double-helical elements and three loops (D, anti-codon, and T loops). Lineage: Eukaryota; Metazoa; Chordata; Testudines; Cheloniidae. The record is from Rfam by way of RNAcentral.